This 30-nucleotide non-coding RNA is filed under the name Mus musculus (house mouse). Lineage: Eukaryota; Metazoa; Chordata; Mammalia; Rodentia; Muridae. The record is from RNAcentral.
UGGCAAGCAAGUCUUGAUCUAUAUUGUCUG